Molecule: transfer RNA, 70 nt
Filed under: Rhodeus shitaiensis
Lineage: Eukaryota; Metazoa; Chordata; Actinopteri; Cypriniformes; Acheilognathidae
Description: tRNA-Arg
Rfam family: tRNA
About the family: Transfer RNA (tRNA) molecules are approximately 80 nucleotides in length. Their secondary structure includes four short double-helical elements and three loops (D, anti-codon, and T loops).
Source: RNAcentral
AGCGGGGUAGUCCAAAGUAAGACCCCUGAUUUCGGCUCAGAGAAUCGUGGUUAAAGUCCAUGGCCCGCUU